Molecule: ribosomal RNA, 352 nt
Filed under: Dineutus sp. KBMDisp507
Lineage: Eukaryota; Metazoa; Arthropoda; Insecta; Coleoptera; Gyrinidae
Description: partial 12S ribosomal RNA
Source: RNAcentral
UUAAAAUGUUAAUUAAUUAACUAAAGUAGUAUCAGUUAUGUUCUUUAAAUUUAAAGAUUUUGGCGGUAUUUUAGUCUAUUCAGAGGAACCUGUUCUAUAAUUGAUAGUCCACGAUUAACUUUACUUGAAUUUAAAAGUUUGUAUAUCGUUGUUUAUAGAAAAUUUUUUAAGAAAAAUAAUUUUUAAUAAAUUUAAUUAAAUUAUAAAUCAAAUCAAGGUGCAGCUUAUAUUUUAGUAGAAAUGGGUUACAAUAAAAUUAUUUAAAUGGAUUUAUAUUUUCAAAAUAUAAUGAAGGUGGAUUUGAUAGUAAUUUUAUUAAUUUAAAUAAAAUGAUUUUAGCUCUAGAAUAUGU